GGGUUGUGAGGUUAAGCGACUAAGCGUACACGGUGGAUGCCCUGGCAGUCAGAGGCGAUGAAGGACGUGCUAAUCUGCGAUAAGCGUCGGUGAGGUGAUAUGAACCGUUAUAACCGGCGAUUUCCGAAUGGGGAAACCCAGUGUGUUUCGACACACUAUCAUUAACUGAAUCCAUAGGUUAAUGAGGCGAACCGGGGGAACUGAAACAUCUAAGUACCCCGAGGAAAAGAAAUCAACCGAGAUUCCCCCAGUAGCGGCGAGCGAACGGGGAGGAGCCCAGAGCCUGAAUCAGUGUGUGUGUUAGUGGAAGCGUCUGGAAAGGCGCGCGAUACAGGGUGACAGCCCCGUACACAAAAAUGCACAUAUUGUGAGCUCGAUGAGUAGGGCGGGACACGUGGUAUCCUGUCUGAAUAUGGGGGGACCAUCCUCCAAGGCUAAAUACUCCUGACUGACCGAUAGUGAACCAGUACCGUGAGGGAAAGGCGAAAAGAACCCCGGCGAGGGGAGUGAAAAAGAACCUGAAACCGUGUACGUACAAGCAGUGGGAGCCUCUUCAUGGGGUGACUGCGUACCUUUUGUAUAAUGGGUCAGCGACUUAUAUUCUGUAGCAAGGUUAACCGAAUAGGGGAGCCGAAGGGAAACCGAGUCUUAACUGGGCGUUAAGUUGCAGGGUAUAGACCCGAAACCCGGUGAUCUAGCCAUGGGCAGGUUGAAGGUUGGGUAACACUAACUGGAGGACCGAACCGACUAAUGUUGAAAAAUUAGCGGAUGACUUGUGGCUGGGGGUGAAAGGCCAAUCAAACCGGGAGAUAGCUGGUUCUCCCCGAAAGCUAUUUAGGUAGCGCCUCGUGAAUUCAUCUCCGGGGGUAGAGCACUGUUUCGGCAAGGGGGUCAUCCCGACUUACCAACCCGAUGCAAACUGCGAAUACCGGAGAAUGUUAUCACGGGAGACACACGGCGGGUGCUAACGUCCGUCGUGAAGAGGGAAACAACCCAGACCGCCAGCUAAGGUCCCAAAGUCAUGGUUAAGUGGGAAACGAUGUGGGAAGGCCCAGACAGCCAGGAUGUUGGCUUAGAAGCAGCCAUCAUUUAAAGAAAGCGUAAUAGCUCACUGGUCGAGUCGGCCUGCGCGGAAGAUGUAACGGGGCUAAACCAUGCACCGAAGCUGCGGCAGCGACACUAUGUGUUGUUGGGUAGGGGAGCG
Molecule: ribosomal RNA, 1204 nt
Filed under: Escherichia coli
Lineage: Bacteria; Pseudomonadati; Pseudomonadota; Gammaproteobacteria; Enterobacterales; Enterobacteriaceae
Description: partial 23S ribosomal RNA
Rfam family: Bacterial large subunit ribosomal RNA
Source: RNAcentral